GGUUAAGCGACUAAGCGUACACGGUGGAUGCCCUGGCAGUCAGAGGCGAUGAAGGACGUGCUAAUCUGCGAUAAGCGUCGGUGAGGUGAUAUGAACCGUUAUAACCGGCGAUUUCCGAAUGGGGAAACCCAGUGUGUUUCGACACACUAUCAUUAACUGAAUCCAUAGGUUAAUGAGGCGAACCGGGGGAACUGAAACAUCUAAGUACCCCGAGGAAAAGAAAUCAACCGAGAUUCCCCCAGUAGCGGCGAGCGAACGGGGAGGAGCCCAGAGCCUGAAUCAGUGUGUGUGUUAGUGGAAGCGUCUGGAAAGGCGCGCGAUACAGGGUGACAGCCCCGUACACAAAAAUGCACAUACUGUGAGCUCGAUGAGUAGGGCGGGACACGUGGUAUCCUGUCUGAAUAUGGGGGGACCAUCCUCCAAGGCUAAAUACUCCUGACUGACCGAUAGUGAACCAGUACCGUGAGGGAAAGGCGAAAAGAACCCCGGCGAGGGGAGUGAAAAAGAACCUGAAACCGUGUACGUACAAGCAGUGGGAGCCUCUUAAUGGGGUGACUGCGUACCUUUUGUAUAAUGGGUCAGCGACUUAUAUUCUGUAGCAAGGUUAACCGAAUAGGGGAGCCGAAGGGAAACCGAGUCUUAACUGGGCGUUAAGUUGCAGGGUAUAGACCCGAAACCCGGUGAUCUAGCCAUGGGCAGGUUGAAGGUUGGGUAACACUAACUGGAGGACCGAACCGACUAAUGUUGAAAAAUUAGCGGAUGACUUGUGGCUGGGGGU
Molecule: ribosomal RNA, 778 nt
Filed under: Escherichia coli
Lineage: Bacteria; Pseudomonadati; Pseudomonadota; Gammaproteobacteria; Enterobacterales; Enterobacteriaceae
Description: partial 23S ribosomal RNA
Rfam family: Bacterial large subunit ribosomal RNA
Source: RNAcentral